Molecule: ribosomal RNA, 702 nt
Filed under: Arthrobacter sp.
Lineage: Bacteria; Bacillati; Actinomycetota; Actinomycetes; Micrococcales; Micrococcaceae
Description: bacterial SSU rRNA
Rfam family: Bacterial small subunit ribosomal RNA
Source: RNAcentral
CCCUCCGACGGCCAUGCACUUCUUCUCCUACGGGAGGCAGCAGUGGGGAAUAUUGCACAAUGGGCGCAAGCCUGAUGCAGCGACGCCGCGUGAGGGAUGACGGCCUUCGGGUUGUAAACCUCUUUCAGUAGGGAAGAAGCGAAAGUGACGGUACCUGCAGAAGAAGCGCCGGCUAACUACGUGCCAGCAGCCGCGGUAAUACGUAGGGCGCAAGCGUUAUCCGGAAUUAUUGGGCGUAAAGAGCUCGUAGGCGGUUUGUCGCGUCUGCCGUGAAAGUCCGGGGCUCAACUCCGGAUCUGCGGUGGGUACGGGCAGACUAGAGUGAUGUAGGGGAGACUGGAAUUCCUGGUGUAGCGGUGAAAUGCGCAGAUAUCAGGAGGAACACCGAUGGCGAAGGCAGGUCUCUGGGCAUUAACUGACGCUGAGGAGCGAAAGCAUGGGGAGCGAACAGGAUUAGAUACCCUGGUAGUCCAUGCCGUAAACGUUGGGCACUAGGUGUGGGGGACAUUCCACGUUUUCCGCGCCGUAGCUAACGCAUUAAGUGCCCCGCCUGGGGAGUACGGCCGCAAGGCUAAAACUCAAAGGAAUUGACGGGGGCCCGCACAAGCGGCGGAGCAUGCGGAUAAAGUCGAUGCAACGCGAAGAACCUUACCAAGGCUUGACAUGAACCAGACCGGGCUGGAACACAGUCGUUCCCCCCUU